This 553-nucleotide long non-coding RNA is filed under the name Ursus maritimus (polar bear). RNAcentral's name for it is "lncRNA (ENSUMAG00000016784.1)". Lineage: Eukaryota; Metazoa; Chordata; Mammalia; Carnivora; Ursidae. The record is from RNAcentral.
AGAGGAAUAAACAAAUUUAUAUUAGAUGUAGAUAAUUUAAUCCAGCAAAUUGUAGUGGAAACAGUAGAGUCUUUGGUGUCAGACUGAAAUUUGAAAUCUGUUUCUGUGUCUUUCUAGUUUCAUGGCCUAAGGCAAGACAGCUAUUAUCUCUGGCCAUCACAUGCCUCAUCUGUGAAAUAGUCAUGAUAACAGCCUUCCCAAACUGAUGUGAGCAUCACAUGGAAUCACAUGGAAGUAGGUGCUCAGGAUAGCUGCUGGAAAUGUUAAAUUGCAGAAGGCAAAAAUCAAUUUUAUAAUAGGGGGAUUGUUCUUAUACUGACCUUAACAAAUGCCUCAAAAUUACUAAAACAAGAUUUACUAUUGGUGCACACCAGAAGGAGAAGCAGGUGUUAAUACUACUGGAACUUUGCCUUGCAGAUUAUUUACAUAAUCUGGCUCCUUCAUGCCUGUCUCAGAACAAACACAAUCUGCAUUCAGAACAGGACCGUUUACAAGUUCAAUGGAGUUAUUUUGGGAACUUGCAAACUAACGAGGAUCAUAAUGUGGAACUACA